CAAAGACAGCCCAGACAAAUGUAAACUUGUCAUGACCAAGACUUUUGGCAUUGUCACUUUGAUUAAUGUCAAGUUGUCAUAAUCAAGACAACCCAAACAAUGUCAACUUGUCCUUAC
Molecule: long non-coding RNA, 117 nt
Organism: Etheostoma cragini (Arkansas darter)
Lineage: Eukaryota; Metazoa; Chordata; Actinopteri; Perciformes; Percidae
Exons: 3
Source: RefSeq, a predicted model, not a curated record